Molecule: ribosomal RNA, 505 nt
Filed under: uncultured bacterium
Lineage: Bacteria
Description: partial 16S ribosomal RNA
Rfam family: Bacterial small subunit ribosomal RNA
Source: RNAcentral
GACGAACGCUGGCGGCGUGCCCAAUACAUGCAAGUAGAACGCACAGUUUAUACCGUAGCUUGCUACACCAUAGACUGUGAGUUGCGAACGGGUGAGUAACGCGUAGGUAACCUGCCUGGUAGCGGGGGAUAACUAUUGGAAACGAUAGCUAAUACCGCAUAAUAUUGAUUAUUGCAUGAUAAUUGAUUGAAAGAUGCUAUUGCAUCACUACCAGAUGGACCUGCGUUGUAUUAGCUAGUAGGUGAGGUAACGGCUCACCUAGGCGACGAUACAUAGCCGACCUGAGAGGGUGAUCGGCCACACUGGGACUGAGACACGGCCCAGACUCCUACGGGAGGCAGCAGUAGGGAAUCUUCGGCAAUGGACGAAAGUCUGACCGAGCAACGCCGCGUGAGUGAAGAAGGGUUUCGGAUCGUAAAGCUCUGUUGUAAGAGAAGAACGGGUGUGAGAGUGGAAAGUUCACACUGUGACGGUAUCUUACCAGAAAGGGACGGCUAACUACGUG